RNAcentral lists this ribosomal RNA (283 nucleotides) under uncultured bacterium. Its description in RNAcentral is "partial 16S ribosomal RNA". It matches the Rfam family "Bacterial small subunit ribosomal RNA", at positions 334 to 631 of the family's 1533-position model. The record is from RNAcentral.
CUUUCCUACGGGGCGCAGCAGUGGGGAAUGUUGGGCAAUGGGCGCAAGCCUGACCCAGCAACGCCGCGUGAAGGAAGAAGGCUUUCGGGUUGUAAACUUCUUUUCUCAGGGACGAAGCAAGUGACGGUACCUGAGGAAUAAGCCACGGCUAACUACGUGCCAGCAGCCGCGGCAAUACGUAGGUGGCAAGCGUUGUCCGGAUUUACUGGGUGUAAAGGGCGUGCCGCCGGGAAGACAAGUCAGAUGUGAAAUCCCGCGGCUCAACCGCGGGACUGCAUUUGAA